This 400-nucleotide ribosomal RNA is filed under the name uncultured bacterium. RNAcentral describes it as "bacterial SSU rRNA". It matches the Rfam family "Bacterial small subunit ribosomal RNA", at positions 28 to 423 of the family's 1533-position model. The record is from RNAcentral.
GACGAACGCUGGCGGCGUGCUUAACACAUGCAAGUGGAGCGACGAACCAGGCUUCGGCCUGGGGCAAAGCCGCGAACGGGUGAGUAACACGUGGGUAACCUGCCCCGAUGACCGGGACAACCCGAGGAAACUCGGGCUAAUACCGGAUGAGCUGCCCUCACAUCAGUGAGGGUCGGAAAGGAGCUUCGGCCUCCGCAUCGGGAUGGGCCCGCGGCCCAUUAGCUUGUUGGUGAGGUAACGGCUCACCAAGGCUGCGAUGGGUAGCUGGUCUGAGAGGACGAUCAGCCACACUGGGACUGAGACACGGCCCAGACUCCUACGGGAGGCAGCAGUGGGGAAUCUUGCGCAAUGCGCGAAAGCGUGACGCAGCAACGCCGCGUGGGGGAAGAAGGCCUCGGGU